This 430-nucleotide ribosomal RNA is filed under the name uncultured bacterium. RNAcentral describes it as "bacterial SSU rRNA". It matches the Rfam family "Bacterial small subunit ribosomal RNA", at positions 355 to 776 of the family's 1533-position model. The record is from RNAcentral.
UGGGGAAUAUUGCGCAAUGGACGAAAGUCUGACGCAGCAAUGCCGCGUGAGUGAGGAAGGCCUUCGGGUUGUAAAGCUCUGUCAAUGUGGAAAAACAGCUUUUGGUCCAAUAGGCCUUAAGUUUGAUGGUACACAUAAAGGAAGCACCGGCUAACUUCGUGCCAGCAGCCGCGGUAAUACGAAGGGUGCAAGCGUUGUUCGGAUUUAUUGGGCGUAAAGCGCGCGCAGGCGGAUAUGUAAGUCAGAUGUGAAAUCUCGGGGCUCAACCCCGAAACUGCGUCUGAAACUACUUAUCUAGAAUCUCGGAGAGGGAAGUGGAAUUUCGCAUGUAGGGGUAAAAUCCGUAGAGAUGCGAAGGAACACCAGUGGCGAAGGCGACUUCCUGGACGAGUAUUGACGCUGAGGCGCGAAAGCGUGGGGAGCAAACAGG